CCCAGCGGUCUCUUUCGGGAGACAGCGGCGGACGGGUUAGUAACGCGUGGGAACGUGCCCUUUAGUACGGAAUAGCCAUUGGAAACGAUGAUUAAUACCGUAUACGCCCUUUGGGGGAAAGAUUUAUCGCUAAAGGAUCGGCCCGCGUUAGAUUAGGUUGUUGGCGGGGUAAUGGCCUACCAAGCCUACGAUCUAUAGCUGGUUUGAGAGGAUGAUCAGCAACACUGGGACUGAGACACGGCCCAGACUUCUACGGAAGGCAGCAGUAGGGAAUCUUGGACAAUGGGCGAAAGCCUGAUCCAGCCAUGCCGCGUGAGUGAUGAAGGCCCUAGGGUAGUAAAACUCUUUCGCCAGGGAAGAUAAUGACGGUACCUGGUAAAGAAACCCCGGCUAACUCCGUGCCAGCAGCCGCGGUAAUACGGAGGGGGUUAGCGUUGUUCGGAAUUACUGGGCGUAAAGCGCACGUAGGCGGACUAGUCAGUCAGAGGUGAAAUCCCGAGGCUCAACCUCGGAACUGCCUUUGAUACUGCUAGUCUAGAGUUCGAGAGAGGUGAGUGGAAUUCCGAGUGUAGAGGUGAAAUUCGUAGAUAUUCGGAGGAACACCAGUGGCGAAGGCGGCUCACUGGAUCGAUACUGACGCUGAGGUGCGAAAGCGUGGGGAGCAAACAGG
RNAcentral lists this ribosomal RNA (670 nucleotides) under uncultured Alphaproteobacteria bacterium. RNAcentral's name for it is "bacterial SSU rRNA". It matches the Rfam family "Bacterial small subunit ribosomal RNA", at positions 62 to 776 of the family's 1533-position model. The record is from RNAcentral. Lineage: Bacteria; Pseudomonadati; Pseudomonadota; Alphaproteobacteria.